Molecule: ribosomal RNA, 253 nt
Filed under: uncultured bacterium
Lineage: Bacteria
Description: partial 16S ribosomal RNA
Rfam family: Bacterial small subunit ribosomal RNA
Source: RNAcentral
UACAGAGGUCCCGAGCGUUGUUCGGAUUCAUUGGGCGUAAAGGGUGCGUAGGCGGCGGGGCAAGCCUGAUGUGAAAUCCCGGGGCUCAACCCCGGAACUGCAUUGGAUACUGCCUUGCUAGAGUACUGGAGAGGGAACUGGAAUUUACGGUGUAGCAGUGAAAUGCGUAGAGAUCGUAAGGAACAUCAGUGGCGAAAGCGACUUCCUGGACCAAUACUGACGCUCAUGUGCGAAAGCGUGGGGAGCAAACAGG